Molecule: long non-coding RNA, 567 nt
Filed under: Bos taurus (domestic cattle)
Lineage: Eukaryota; Metazoa; Chordata; Mammalia; Artiodactyla; Bovidae
Description: long non-coding RNA NONBTAT024270
Source: RNAcentral
CCUAAGCAUGACGGUUGCAUGCAGUAUUUGUUUCAUACUUUAGCAGAUGUACAUAGGCCUGAUCAGAUUUCUAAACCGUCACCACCACUUAAGAAGCCAGUCCUCCGCUGUUAGAAAGACCUAGUUGGCUCUUGUGGGUAUAAUUGCUAUUUUAAAGGGUCAUGUGAGCAAAGAACUCAGCAUGGCUUUAACUGGAAUCUGUUUUACUGUGGAAUGAAAUUGUGCAUUUGAAUUUCACAGAAAUUAAAUGUUGAGCCUACAGCCUAUUUAGCAGUUUUAUCAUUACUGUUGGCAAAGAAAAUCACUGAAGAGCUAAUAAAGGAUGUUCUUUCAUUGGGGGAUGGGGUGGGGGGAGAAAAUACUAUCUUUCAGCCACAGAGUGACCUGCUGCUCACAAGGAAGGCACACCACCAGGCCCCAAAAUAGAGAGCCCACUUGUGAGCUCCAUGCAAGUUACCUCCCUUUCCAAGUGAGUUCCCUCAGAACAGUUCAGUACAAGGUGAAGCAGCCAAAUAACUUAUGUUCUUAAUAAUACCUUGUCUUUUAGGGCCAAUAAAGCCAAAAUGC